Mustela erminea (ermine) is the source of this 743-nucleotide long non-coding RNA. RefSeq lists it as uncharacterized. The transcript has 3 exons. The record is from RefSeq and is a predicted model, not a curated record. Lineage: Eukaryota; Metazoa; Chordata; Mammalia; Carnivora; Mustelidae.
CUCCCGGAGGUAUCUGUGAUGUUCAGAACACAGUGGUUCCCGUGGGAGCCCCAUCGUCCUGUGGACAUGGCAGUGUCAAGGGAAGAGGGUCGGAGCAGGUGAAAGUGAAGGUCAUGGAGAUGUCAUGUGGAAACUAGUUGGACUGGCUUAUUGGAAGCGCAAGGGCUGGGCCUGUCUGGUUACGAAGCAAUGCCCUUUCCUCGACUCCACGCUGAGUUCUGGGCCCAAGGGCAGAGCUGGCUGUCAGGGCUGACCAAAGAAGGAGAAUUUUAAGAUCAUUUCUGCAUGCAGCAGGAGUGUUUAAGGUUGGCAGCAUCCAGCCAGCCAGUCCUGAGAUCAUCUGGUGAAGGGAAGCGAGGCAUGGAGGUUUCCCAGAGAAAGAACCCAGGAUGAAGGAAGGGGUUCAGUCUUCUUUUCUCUAUGUUCAAGCAAUGGCUGAGUACACUGGCUAACUCAACCUUCUCAUACCAGAUUUUCAUGAGAAAUAAACAUUAACGUGUUACUAACCUUAAAUGUUCGAGAUGUUAAGAAUAUUCCGAAUUGCCAUGCAGAUGCCCGAGUUUCCAAUACUAGAGACGACUUCCGUAAUGGGAGCACUUUUAGCCCGAUCAUACCAGUUUAUCAUUUGUAAGGCUCCUGAUGGGAGAUGUUAGCACCACUCCGAAAGCACAGUUUUGCACCCAGACAUGAUCUACUUUUUUUUUUUUUUUUUAAUAAAUGGAAUGUAAGACCAAAUAUUGGUU